CGCCCAGACUCCUCGGGAGGCAGCAGUGGGGGAUAUUGCACAAUGGGGGAAACCCUGAUGCAGCGACGCCGCGUGGGUGAAGAAGCGCCUCGGCGCGUAAAGCCCUGUCAGCAGGGAGGAAAAUGACGGUACCUGAAGAAGAAGCCCCGGCUAACUACGUGCCAGCAGCCGCGGUAAUACGUAGGGGGCAAGCGUUAUCCGGAUUUACUGGGUGUAAAGGGGGCGCAGACGGCAAUGCAAGUCAGGAGUGAAAGCCCGGGGCCCAACCCCGGGACUGCUCUUGGAACUGCAUGGCUGGAGUACAGGAGGGGCAGGCGGAAUUCCUAGUGUAGCGGUGAAAUGCGUAGAUAUUAGGAGGAACACCGGUGGCGAAGGCGGCCUGCUGGACUGUGACUGACGUUGGGGCCCGAAGGCGUGGGGAGCAAACAGGAUUAGAUACCCUAGUA
Molecule: ribosomal RNA, 446 nt
Filed under: uncultured bacterium
Lineage: Bacteria
Description: bacterial SSU rRNA
Rfam family: Bacterial small subunit ribosomal RNA
Source: RNAcentral